RNAcentral lists this ribosomal RNA (902 nucleotides) under Klebsiella pneumoniae. Its description in RNAcentral is "bacterial SSU rRNA". It matches the Rfam family "Bacterial small subunit ribosomal RNA", at positions 546 to 1448 of the family's 1533-position model. The record is from RNAcentral. Lineage: Bacteria; Pseudomonadati; Pseudomonadota; Gammaproteobacteria; Enterobacterales; Enterobacteriaceae.
GGAAAUUACUGGGCGUAAAGCGCACGCAGGCGGUCUGUCAAAGUCGGAUGUGAAAUCCCCGGGCUCAACCUGGGAACUGCAUUCGAAACUGGCAGGCUAGAGUCUUGUAGAGGGGGGUAGAAUUCCAGGUGUAGCGGUGAAAUGCGUAGAGAUCUGGAGGAAUACCGGUGGCGAAGGCGGCCCCCUGGACAAAGACUGACGCUCAGGUGCGAAAGCGUGGGGAGCAAACAGGAUUAGAUACCCUGGUAGUCCACGCCGUAAACGAUGUCGAUUUGGAGGUUGUGCCCUUGAGGCGUGGCUUCCGGAGCUAACGCGUUAAAUCGACCGCCUGGGGAGUACGGCCGCAAGGUUAAAACUCAAAUGAAUUGACGGGGGCCCGCACAAGCGGUGGAGCAUGUGGUUUAAUUCGAUGCAACGCGAAGAACCUUACCUGGUCUUGACAUCCACAGAACUUACCAGAGAUGGAUUGGUGCCUUCGGGAACUGUGAGACAGGUGCUGCAUGGCUGUCGUCAGCUCGUGUUGUGAAAUGUUGGGUUAAGUCCCGCAACGAGCGCAACCCUUAUCCUUUGUUGCCAGCGGUCCGGCCGGGAACUCAAAGGAGACUGCCAGUGAUAAACUGGAGGAAGGUGGGGAUGACGUCAAGUCAUCAUGGCCCUUACGACCAGGGCUACACACGUGCUACAAUGGCAUAUACAAAGAGAAGCGACCUCGCGAGAGCAAGCGGACCUCAUAAAGUAUGUCGUAGUCCGGAUUGGAGUCUGCAACUCGACUCCAUGAAGUCGGAAUCGCUAGUAAUCGUAGAUCAGAAUGCUACGGUGAAUACGUUCCCGGGCCUUGUACACACCGCCCGUCACACCAUGGGAGUGGGUUGCAAAAGAAGUAGGUAGCUUAACCUCGGGAG